UGUUUUGUUUACUUACAGUCAUGCUGACUGUUUAUUACUAAACUAAUUAGAACAACAUAAAGGGUUUGAUGAAUGAAUCUCAACUUAAGGCAUUAUCCUACCCUUUGAAUAUUGUUCACAAGUGGUUUUAUUUGCGUAUUCCAAAUAUUUAAUAUCGACAGUGAAUAAUGUUCGUAGCUUCAACGAGCUAAAUAAUUGGCUAAAUCUUGCAUUUGCGGAUUCAUAUGUAAAAAAAAUAAGAUUUGGGCAUUAAAAUAGCUGACGCCCGGUGGCGCUGUGGGUGAAGUCUCUUUGGAAAUCAGUUGGCUUUCCGCAAUGCAAGGCGGUGUUUACUCUGACUAACCCGCAGCGAGUUGAUGGUGUGGUUUUUUUAGACAAAGGCUGUUGCUACUGGUGAAAAUGUAUUAGACAGAAGCUCUCCGGAGGUGCCAGGCGGGUACAAGGUGUUCCUGAUGUGAGACAACAUGAUUUAUGUCAGCCGCAGAGCUCUCGACAGGAUGUACUCACUCGUACUCUUGGCAGUGGUACUCCUGUCCUGGGGAUACGUCAUAUAUGGAACGAGAAUAGCAGCACAGUGGCAGCUGGAAAAGCAAUUCAAGAUCAAUAACUGAAGUCCCUGAGGAACUGAGGCGUGUGGACGGAGGGGGUUAAAUGUACCACCCAGACCAACCUGCAAAAGGAAGAUGAACCUUAUGGAUAAAUAAACUUUCUGCGAGAUGGAA
Lepisosteus oculatus (spotted gar) is the source of this 722-nucleotide non-coding RNA. Lineage: Eukaryota; Metazoa; Chordata; Actinopteri; Semionotiformes; Lepisosteidae. The record is from RefSeq and is a predicted model, not a curated record.